RNAcentral lists this ribosomal RNA (718 nucleotides) under uncultured Pseudoalteromonas sp. RNAcentral describes it as "bacterial SSU rRNA". It matches the Rfam family "Bacterial small subunit ribosomal RNA", at positions 149 to 869 of the family's 1533-position model. Lineage: Bacteria; Pseudomonadati; Pseudomonadota; Gammaproteobacteria; Alteromonadales; Pseudoalteromonadaceae. The record is from RNAcentral.
GUUGGAAACGACUGCUAAUACCGCAUAAUGUCUACGGACCAAAGGGGGCUUCGGCUCUCGCCUUUAGAUUGGCCCAAGUGGGAUUAGCUAGUUGGUGAGGUAAUGGCUCACCAAGGCGACGAUCCCUAGCUGGUUUGAGAGGAUGAUCAGCCACACUGGGACUGAGACACGGCCCAGACUCCUACGGGAGGCAGCAGUGGGGAAUAUUGCACAAUGGGCGCAAGCCUGAUGCAGCCAUGCCGCGUGUGUGAAGAAGGCCUUCGGGUUGUAAAGCACUUUCAGUCAGGAGGAAAGGUUAGUAGUUAAUACCUGCUAGCUGUGACGUUACUGACAGAAGAAGCACCGGCUAACUCCGUGCCAGCAGCCGCGGUAAUACGGAGGGUGCGAGCGUUAAUCGGAAUUACUGGGCGUAAAGCGUACGCAGGCGGUUUGUUAAGCGAGAUGUGAAAGCCCCGGGCUCAACCUGGGAACUGCAUUUCGAACUGGCAAACUAGAGUGUGAUAGAGGGUGGUAGAAUUUCAGGUGUAGCGGUGAAAUGCGUAGAGAUCUGAAGGAAUACCGAUGGCGAAGGCAGCCACCUGGGUCAACACUGACGCUCAUGUACGAAAGCGUGGGGAGCAAACGGGAUUAGAUACCCCGGUAGUCCACGCCGUAAACGAUGUCUACUAGAAGCUCGGAGCCUCGGUUCUGUUUUUCAAAGCUAACGCAUUAAGUAGAC